Molecule: ribosomal RNA, 253 nt
Filed under: uncultured bacterium
Lineage: Bacteria
Description: partial 16S ribosomal RNA
Rfam family: Bacterial small subunit ribosomal RNA
Source: RNAcentral
UACAGAGGUGGCAAGCGUUGUUCGGAAUUACUGGGCGUAAAGGGCGCGUAGGCGGCCUUGUAAGUCCUGCGUGAAAUCCCCCGGCUCAACUGGGGAACUGCACAGGAGACUGCUUGGCUUGAGUUCGGGAGAGGGAAGCGGAAUUCCGGGUGUAGCGGUGAAAUGCGUAGACAUCUGGAGGAAUACCGGUGGCGAAGGCGGGUCUCUGGGCCGUAACUGACGCUGAGGAGCGAAAGCAUGGGGAGCGAACAGG